This 493-nucleotide ribosomal RNA is filed under the name uncultured bacterium. Its description in RNAcentral is "partial 16S ribosomal RNA". It matches the Rfam family "Bacterial small subunit ribosomal RNA", at positions 28 to 507 of the family's 1533-position model. The record is from RNAcentral.
GACGAACGCUGGCGGCGUGCUUAACACAUGCAAGUCGAACGGUGAAGCGCCUUCCUUUUUGGUGGGUGUGGAUGAGUGGCGAACGGGUGAGUAACACGUGAGUAACCUGCCCCCUUCUUCUGGAUAACCGCAUGAAAGUGUGGCUAAUACGGGAUAUUCUGGGUCUGUCGCAUGAUGGGUCUGGGAAAGAUAUUGUUUCGGUGGGGGAUGGGCUCGCGGCCUAUCAGCUUGUUGGUGGGGUGAUGGCCACCAAGGCGGUGACGGGUAGCCGGCCUGAGAGGGUGGACGGUCACACUGGGACUGAGACACGGCCCAGACUCCUACGGGAGGCAGCAGUGGGGAAUAUUGCACAAUGGGCGCAAGCCUGAUGCAGCGACGCCGCGUGAGGGAUGGAGGCCUUCGGGUUGUGAACCUCUUUCGCCAGUGAAGCAGGCCUGCCUCGUUUGUGGGUGGGUUGACGGUAGCUGGAUAAGAAGCGCCGGCUAACUACGUG